CCCAAGAGAUCGGGAUAACACCUGGAAACAGAUGCUAAUACCGGAUAACAACAGAUGAUGCCUAUCAACUGUUUAAAAGAUGGUUCUGCUAUCACUCUUGGAUGGACCUGCGGUGCAUUAGCUAGUUGGUAGGGUAACGGCCUACCAAGGCGAUGAUGCAUAGCCGAGUUGAGAGACUGAUCGGCCACAUUGGGACUGAGACACGGCCCAAACUCCUAUGGGAGGCAGCAGAG
RNAcentral lists this ribosomal RNA (233 nucleotides) under uncultured Lactobacillus sp. RNAcentral's name for it is "partial 16S ribosomal RNA". It matches the Rfam family "Bacterial small subunit ribosomal RNA", at positions 129 to 354 of the family's 1533-position model. Lineage: Bacteria; Bacillati; Bacillota; Bacilli; Lactobacillales; Lactobacillaceae. The record is from RNAcentral.